This 1554-nucleotide ribosomal RNA is filed under the name Enterobacter sp. ODB01. Its description in RNAcentral is "bacterial SSU rRNA". It matches the Rfam family "Bacterial small subunit ribosomal RNA". The record is from RNAcentral. Lineage: Bacteria; Pseudomonadati; Pseudomonadota; Gammaproteobacteria; Enterobacterales; Enterobacteriaceae.
ACUUAAAUUGAAGAGUUUGAUCAUGGCUCAGAUUGAACGCUGGCGGCAGGCCUAACACAUGCAAGUCGAACGGUAGCACAGAGAGCUUGCUCUCGGGUGACGAGUGGCGGACGGGUGAGUAAUGUCUGGGAAACUGCCUGAUGGAGAGGGAUAACUACUGGAAACGGUAGCUAAUACCGCAUAACGUCGCAAGACCAAAGAGGGGGACCUUCGGGCCUCUUGCCAUCAGAUGUGCCCAGAUGGGAUUAGCUAGUAGGUGGGGUAACGGCUCACCUAGGCGACGAUCCCUAGCUGGUCUGAGAGGAUGACCAGCCACACUGGAACUGAGACACGGUCCAGACUCCUACGGGAGGCAGCAGUGGGGAAUAUUGCACAAUGGGCGCAAGCCUGAUGCAGCCAUGCCGCGUGUAUGAAGAAGGCCUUCGGGUUGUAAAGUACUUUCAGCGGGGAGGAAGGUGUUGUGGUUAAUAACCGCAGCAAUUGACGUUACCCGCAGAAGAAGCACCGGCUAACUCCGUGCCAGCAGCCGCGGUAAUACGGAGGGUGCAAGCGUUAAUCGGAAUUACUGGGCGUAAAGCGCACGCAGGCGGUCUGUCAAGUCGGAUGUGAAAUCCCCGGGCUCAACCUGGGAACUGCAUUCGAAACUGGCAGGCUAGAGUCUUGUAGAGGGGGGUAGAAUUCCAGGUGUAGCGGUGAAAUGCGUAGAGAUCUGGAGGAAUACCGGUGGCGAAGGCGGCCCCCUGGACAAAGACUGACGCUCAGGUGCGAAAGCGUGGGGAGCAAACAGGAUUAGAUACCCUGGUAGUCCACGCCGUAAACGAUGUCGACUUGGAGGUUGUGCCCUUGAGGCGUGGCUUCCGGAGCUAACGCGUUAAGUCGACCGCCUGGGGAGUACGGCCGCAAGGUUAAAACUCAAAUGAAUUGACGGGGGCCCGCACAAGCGGUGGAGCAUGUGGUUUAAUUCGAUGCAACGCGAAGAACCUUACCUACUCUUGACAUCCAGAGAACUUUCCAGAGAUGGAUUGGUGCCUUCGGGAACUCUGAGACAGGUGCUGCAUGGCUGUCGUCAGCUCGUGUUGUGAAAUGUUGGGUUAAGUCCCGCAACGAGCGCAACCCUUAUCCUUUGUUGCCAGCGGUUAGGCCGGGAACUCAAAGGAGACUGCCAGUGAUAAACUGGAGGAAGGUGGGGAUGACGUCAAGUCAUCAUGGCCCUUACGAGUAGGGCUACACACGUGCUACAAUGGCGCAUACAAAGAGAAGCGACCUCGCGAGAGCAAGCGGACCUCAUAAAGUGCGUCGUAGUCCGGAUUGGAGUCUGCAACUCGACUCCAUGAAGUCGGAAUCGCUAGUAAUCGUAGAUCAGAAUGCUACGGUGAAUACGUUCCCGGGCCUUGUACACACCGCCCGUCACACCAUGGGAGUGGGUUGCAAAAGAAGUAGGUAGCUUAACCUUCGGGAGGGCGCUUACCACUUUGUGAUUCAUGACUGGGGUGAAGUCGUAACAAGGUAACCGUAGGGGAACCUGCGGUUGGAUCACCUCCUUACCUUAAAGAA